UACGUGCCAGCAGCCGCGGUAAUACGUAGGGUGCAAGCGUUGUCCGGAAUUACUGGGCGUAAAGAGCUCGUAGGCGGUUUGUCGCGUCGUCUGUGAAAUCCUACAGCUUAACUGUGGGCGUGCAGGCGAUACGGGCAGACUUGAGUACUACAGGGGAGACUGGAAUUCCUGGUGUAGCGGUGAAAUGCGCAGAUAUCAGGAGGAACACCGGUGGCGAAGGCGGGUCUCUGGGUAGUAACUGACGCUGAGGAGCGAAAGCAUGGGUAGCGAACAGGAUUAGAUACCCUGGUAGUCCAUGCCGUAAACGGUGGGCGCUAGGUGUGGGUUUCCUUCCACGGGAUCCGUGCCGCAGCUAACGCAUUAAGCGCCCCGCCUGGGGAGUACGGCCGCAAGGCUAAAACUCAAAGGAAUUGACGGGGGCCCGCACAAGCGGCGGAGCAUGUGGAUUAAUUCGAUGCAACGCGAAGAACCUUACCUGGGCUUGACAUAUACAGGACGACGGCAGAGAUGUCGUUUCCCUUGUGGCUUGUAUACAGGUGGUGCAUGGUUGUCGUCAGCUCGUGUCGUGAGAUGUUGGGUUAAGUCCCGCAACGAGCGCAACCCUUGUCUCAUGUUGCCAGCAAUUCGGUUGGGGACUCGUGAGAGACUGCCGGGGUCAACUCGGAGGAAGGUGGGGAUGACGUCAAAUCAUCAUGCCCCUUAUGUCCAGGGCUUCACACAUGCUACAAUGGCCGGUACAGAGGGCUGCGAUACUGUAAAGUGGAGCGAAUCUCUUAAAGCCGGUCUCAGUUCGGAUUGGGGUCUGCAACUCGACCCCAUGAAGUCGGAGUCGCUAGUAAUCGCAGAUCAGCAAUGCUGCGGUGAAUACGUUCCCGGGCCUUGCACUCACCGCCCGU
This 896-nucleotide ribosomal RNA is filed under the name uncultured Dietzia sp. RNAcentral's name for it is "bacterial SSU rRNA". It matches the Rfam family "Bacterial small subunit ribosomal RNA", at positions 502 to 1397 of the family's 1533-position model. The record is from RNAcentral. Lineage: Bacteria; Bacillati; Actinomycetota; Actinomycetes; Mycobacteriales; Dietziaceae.